Molecule: ribosomal RNA, 685 nt
Filed under: uncultured bacterium
Lineage: Bacteria
Description: bacterial SSU rRNA
Rfam family: Bacterial small subunit ribosomal RNA
Source: RNAcentral
AAUUAUUGGGCGUAAAGAGCUCGUAGGCGGUUUGUCGCGUCUGCUGUGAAACUGGGGGCUCAACCCCCAGCCUGCAGUGGGUACGGGCAGACUAGAGUGCGGUAGGGGAGAUUGGAAUUCCUGGUGUAGCGGUGGAAUGCGCAGAUAUCAGGAGGAACACCGAUGGCGAAGGCAGAUCUCUGGGCCGAACUGACGCUGAGGAGCGAAAGGGUGGGGAGCAAACAGGCUUAGAUACCCUGGUAGUCCACCCCGUAAACGUUGGGAACUAGUUGUGGGGCCGUGACGCAGCUAACGCAUUAAGUUCCCCGCCUGGGGAGUACGGCCGCAAGGCUAAAACUCAAAGGAAUUGACGGGGACCCGCACAAGCGGCGGAGCAUGCGGAUUAAUUCGAUGCAACGCGAAGAACCUUACCAAGGCUUGACAUACAGGUGGUGCAUGGUUGUCGUCAGCUCGUGUCGUGAGAUGUUGGGUUAAGUCCCGCAACGAGCGCAACCCUCGUUCUAUGUUGCAACUCAUGGGAUACUGCCGGGGUCAACUCGGAGGAAGGUGGGGAUGACGUCAAAUCAUCAUGCCCUUAUGUCUUGGGCUUCACGCAUGCUACAAUGGCCGGUACAAAGGGCUGCAAUACCGUAAGGUGGAGCGAAUCCCAAAAAGCCGGUCCCAGUUCGGAUUGAGGUCUGCAACU